GAAACCGUUUAGGGGUAAACCUGAGAAACCCGAAAGGUCGAAGGAAGAAAUUCAUUCGUGCCCGAUAAGGUUAUUGUGCGAUAUUUUAUGGUGUCGAAAUUUCUUUUUGAAAUUUUGCCCUAUCGUAUCAAUAUAUGUACCUUAUUGGAUGCGUGCACUUUUCUUCUGGUAGGACGUUGCGAUCCGUUGGAUGUUGAUUUACGGUACAGAUGGUAGCCCAUUUUUGUUUAACUCUCGUAGUUAUUACUUGAAUGGACCUUUGUUACCUAAUCAACUUGUUCGACGGUAUCAUUUAAUGGUUUUGGGACGCUACUUGUGAGCGUUCGGCUUGUAACAAGCACGUUAAAUGUUUUGGUGUUACGGACCUAGUGCCGUACCUGAUCCUUAACGUCUGUUGGUUACUUUUGUCUCGAACUGUUCCCAUAUAUAUAUGAAACCGAUCAGCAACGAUAUAGCUUUGGGUACUUUCAGGACCCGUCUUGAAACACGGACCAAGGAGUCUAGCAUGUACGCAAGUCAUUGGGAAUUACAAAACCUAAAGGCGUAAUGAAAGUAAAUGUUAAUCUUUACGAUUAACAAUGGGAAGAUAAAUAUAUUAUCUUGUAUAAUAUAUUUCGCAUUCCUAGGGCGUCUCAUUCUAGUUUCGAUUAGAAGAGGCGCACCAUGAGCGUACACGCUGGGACCCGAAAGAUGGUGAACUAUGCCUGGUC
This 710-nucleotide ribosomal RNA is filed under the name Cryphalus laticollis. RNAcentral's name for it is "eukaryotic LSU rRNA". It matches the Rfam family "Eukaryotic large subunit ribosomal RNA", at positions 401 to 842 of the family's 3401-position model. The record is from RNAcentral. Lineage: Eukaryota; Metazoa; Arthropoda; Insecta; Coleoptera; Curculionidae.